GCCGCGUGAUGUUAUUAAGGAAAUACCUUACAGGAACCAGAGGGUGUGGAACCAGAUUGCUUUUAACCUUUCCAGUUUCCAUGGAGCUCUGCCCAUGGACAUGGAUGAUGAAAUGUAAUAUUUGCAUGGAUAAAACCUUGCCGGAAGUAAGUGUUGAUAUGUGGGGAUAAUCAGCAGCCAGCUUCUAAGGGCAGAGAGUCAAGAAAAGGGGGAUUGGAGAACCCUGCCAAAAGAUAAAACUUGGGCAGGGUUGGCACAUAGUAGUUUUGUGACGAGGGAGGAAGGUACCAGAGCUUGUCAAUGUCAAGAGCAAUAAGACAGAGGCAACAAUAGUUCUGUGCUUAAUCAGUAAGUAACCUUGAUUUCUUUUUGCUGGUGUAAGUGUGAAUCUGCUGUUUCAUGUAUCAUAAGAUGGUAUUUAUUUAUCUUGGUCUUUGUUCUUACUAAAUCUUUUUUGUGUAUCAAAUACAGUGCUUACUGUUUUGUCCUGUGUUUAGACGGUAGCAGGGGUAUAAAUGGUCGAUAGUGUCAGUAGCUAAAUAGGAAUGAGGCAGAUUUACAUGUGUAUCCGGAUCUAUUGGUUUAUUCGAUUACCAUCACAACUUUGGAGUGGAGUUCCCGUACUGUUUUGAUAGAAAGCCUGGGUAUCUUUUUUUUUUCUGUGCAUGCAUUUCCUUGUCCUUUUAAAUACAGUAUGCAAUGCCCGUUAUGCUGAUUCGCUUCCGUGUUUGGUGUAAAAAGUCUAGUUGUGCUGUGUUAUCCUUGCGGGCGCGGGGGGCUCGUGAUGCGAAUGAGAUGCCGGAGCUUUUCCGGAUCGCGCCGUGUGUGGAUCGCCGGGCGGACACGCCGGCCAGAUUCUGCCGAAGUUGGCACGCCCCGGGCAGAAGCCGGAACCAGAAGGCCAGAAACACGCGUGAUCUGCACAGCUCGCGCGGUAGGAAACGACGCCUUUCCUGCCCGGGGGCGCAUGUGUGCGCUCCACGGCCCUUCGCGCGGCCGAUGGCUUUCGUCCCGUCCCUCCCCCUUUGCCCAUCCCACAUGGCUGUCGGAUUGGACGCUUGCUUCCCAGCCACACACACAUGCAGCCACGAUCGAUCGGUGCCAACCCAUCCCUCGCCUACAGCGACGGCACGCAGGGGCGCCGUACGCGCCCUCCCGCGUCCUCAUGGAUUCGCUCCGCCAGCCUUGAUCGGCCGCUUUACUUACGUACGGCAUCUAGUGGCGACCUGGCUGCUAGCCUGCUACUGGCACAGCAGGAGCAUGUGAGCGCCCCUCUUUCCAGCCAGUUGCUUGCCUCUCUCGCCCACGCUCACCGUUCGCUGUGCCCGUGUCGAUCGGCAGGCGGCGGCGGACGGUGCCCGAUCGCGCGCGCCUAACAGGAUGGACCACGCUGUUGCGUGUGUCCAUGAGCCGCACACUGGCGGUCGAUCGAUCGCGAGCAGCGCGUCACGGGUAGGGGUUAGGGGCUUGUGGCGUGUUGCUUUUCGGAGCAAAAGUGGCCAGCUUCUCUGUUCCGUUCGGGGAGCCGGUAAUGUGCAACGGAAGGAAGCCAACGUUCGGCCACACGCGACGGAAGCACCCCGUCACGGCGGGUGGAGCACACGUUCACGUCCGCGGCCCGCCGACUGAGAGGAUGAGCACUAGAUAUAAGUUCCGCUCGAUGGACAGUUUACUACAUAAUACUCCCUCCGUUUUUAUUUACUCCUCAUAUUAGUUUUGGUCAAAGUCAAACUUUAUAAAUUUUAACAAAGUUUGUAGACAAAAAUAUUAACAUAUACAAUAAGAAAUCAACACCAUUAGAUUCAUUAUCAAAUGUACUUCCGCAUAGUAUAAAUUUGUUAUGGUAAAUAUUUAUAUUUUUUUCUAUAAACUUGGUUAAACUUUAGGAAGUUUGACUCCAGUCAACUCUAAUAUGCGAAGUAAAUAAAAACGAAGGGAGUAAAACGAUCGAAUAGAAAAUAUCUGCAAUUUGAAACGGAGUCUCCUGCAGCUGGUUCUAUACAAUGUUUUACCUGGAUUAUCACUCAAUAAAUAUGUAAUCCUAAAAAAUACACUCCAAUUUGCAUGGUCAACUACUAUUUUCUAUGGUGUAGCGUGAAAGCGCAAAUCUUAGUGGCUCGCCCUAGGCUGCUCGCACGUCAACUGUAGCGUCAGCCACUCCACCCGUUAGAGCCUUUUCUACGCCAUGACAUGACCCCUACCACCACCAUGACCCCCCUUGACGUCGGCAGUGCGUAGAGAUGCUCCAGCUCAGUUACAUGUGAUCGAUUCUUCGGAUGACUGCAUGUGGGCCUGAAUGAUUGCACGAUCGAUCAGGUGGCCCAGGGAGAAGGAAGACACGUACGGUCCUCGCCGCUGCUAGCUACAGGGCAGACGGACGUAGCCGAUCGACCCCUCUCCGCCUCCGGACACGAUAAGAUAGCCUGGGUGGGUCACUGGGCGUGGCGAUCAGGGGCACGGGUGACCGGCCCUCGCCCGCAGCGGCAGGGCGGACGGACGAUUGAUGAAGACGUGUACGUACAUCAUCCGGGAGAGCCGGAAAGCCUCGAGGGAAACGUUGCGCCACAGCUGCCGGCCGGCUGAUCGCGAGCGGGGACGUGACCUGCUCUGCUUGAUGGACGAGACCGUGAGCGUGGUGUUGAGUGCGCGUUUCGCUUGGUGUCCGCGGCCGUGGGCGCCAACAGACCAAUCCAUCUUACAUCUUCGCACACGUUUCGUAGGAUGGAUGGCUGGGCGGCUGGCAUCAACAGUGCGCGCCGAUUGACUGGAAACACAACCAACUGAACCACAUCAGAAGACUAAACAAUUCUGACAUUCUCUUUAAAGUUCUGAAAGAAAAAAAAAUGAAAUCAUAGGCGCACACUUACAGUUCUUCUGGUAAGAUUUUUUAAGGGAAAUGCCAUCAUGGCGAUUUUAUAUUUCAAGUAAAAAUCUGAAGGCUCUGAUUUGCACACAAUAGUUUAAGAGACCUCCGAAUUCCUAGCCAACAAAUCUGCCGCCAUAUUAGCUUUCCUAGGACAACGAGAAAAAAUUAUAAAAAUAAAAUUACGAGCUAAGAAAGAGCAUCCUUCAUAGAUUGCUGCUGCCGGUCCAAACGAAUUUCCUCCGUUUUGCAUGAUUUCAAUGACUUCCAUGCAAUCGCCUUCUAUGCAUAUCUUGGUGCAUUCAAUUUCACUUGCGAGGAGAAGUCCAUCUCUCAAGCCUCGUGCUUCCGCCGUAGCCGCUUCUUCAACAAAAGAGAUGUUGCCGCAAGAUGCCGCCAUAAAAAAACCGGAGUGGUCUCGAAGUAUAGCACCUGUAGUGCCAGCAUCACUGUCCGGCGUCCACAUUCAGCUUGAUUGUGCCCUCUGGUGGUUUCUCCCAACCAUGUCUCCUAAUUCUGUUGUGCUUGAACUUUGCUCUUGAGUAAUUUUUUGCGAGUGCAGAUAUUGCUUGCGCCGAUAUGGUAGGCUCGUACAGUUGCUCGUCUUGUGUAUACCUGCGUCAUUCCCACCACAAGUACCACACAAGCAUGGCAAUAAGGUCAUUGCACUGAACAUCAUUAACCAACGCCUUAGUUGGAUUCUUGGACAAGAGGAGGUCAGCCAUCACCGAGCCACCCUCUCUUUCCAUCAUGCAUACCUCAUUCACCACUGCUGCCAUACCUAAUAAACGCCACACCUCCUGUACUCGAGGACAAAAGAAUAAAGCAUGCCGGAUGCUCUCAAAUCUGAACUGCAUAAGGGGCAUUGAGAACUCGGAAUUAUAUGUCUGUUCGCUAAGACUCCUUGACAUGGAAGAGCUCCAAGCAAAGUUUUCCACACAUGAAUUUUCACUUUUGAAGGCACACGUAGUUUCCAAAUGGUCCUCCAAAUUAGAAUAGUACUUGAGGCUCAUAUCGAAUUUGUCAUCCUCAACUUUCGUCCGUGUUGUUGUUCCCAUUCUUCAUGAUAGGCCGACCUCACUGUAAAAUUUCCGCUCAUCUUAAAAUGCCAAGAAACAAAAUCACCCAUCAUCCCUAGAGCCAAAGGGAUGUUGAGGAUACGUUGUGCAUCAAUUGGCCAAAACAGAUCAUUAAUUAACCGUUCAUUCCAAGCUCUAUUAUCCACAUCAUGAAUUUCCGAGUGGGGCUGCUUGGUACCCAAGAGUCCUCCCAUAUAUUUAUUUGAGACCCAUCUCCUACUCUUCAUAUAUGACCUCUCUUGAAGGGUCUGAAUACCACUCCAAAUGCUCUGCCAGGUGUAAGAGCUGCCCUUCUUUAAGCUGCACGUAAGGAGGUUGCUCUCUGAAAAAUAUUUUGCUCUUAAUAUUCUGGCACAUAACGAAUCUGGCUCACUCAAGAGCCUCCAACACUGCUUUGCGAGAAGGGCCAAAUUAAAACUUACCCACCACCCAUACACAUACCUACUAGUGGGCACACAUUUUUCCCAUACCCGUCAUCCGACAGGGUAAAUGGUUACCCGCGGGUAAAAAUACCCAUGUUUGCAUAACAUCAAUUUGACCGACACAUAAUCAUAAUGAACAACAUACAAUCAUAAUUUAUAAACAACAAUACAUAAUAACAUAAAUACAUACUUAUAAAUAACAACACAUGAUAAACACAACACAUUUUAUAAACAUCAAUUUUUUUAAAACAAUAACACAUCAAAACAUCGACACAUAGUCAUAAACAGUACUCCCUCCGUCCGAAAAUACUUGUCAUUAAAAUGGAUAAAAAGAGAUGUAUCUAGAACUAAAAUACGUCUAGAUACAUCCCCUUUUAUCCAUUUUGAUGACAAGUAUUUUCGGACGAAGGGAGUAGUACAUAGUCAUACAUUUUGCUCCAUCCGCAAAGAAAUAUAAGAGCGUUUAGAUCACUACUUUAGUGAUCUAAACGCUCUUAUAUUUCUUUACAGAGGGAGUAAGUCCCAAACUCACGAUAGAGGAUAGAAGUAAUUUUUCAUACUUGUUAGAUUUACUAAGGGUACAAGGGUAUGCGGGCAUGGGUUAUAUGAUUUCAUACCCGUACCCGCUCUACCCGCUCUACCCGAUGGGUUUGAGAUCUCCCUAUUUACAUACCCAUGGGUAACCCUUAUCCUAAUAGGGUUUUUCUCAUAGGGUACGUGGGUACUGGGUACCCAUUGUCAUCCCUAAAAUUGACUAAAUCACGAGUUAGGAUUAAUGUCACUCCCACCUCCUCUCAUGAUGACAAGUGACACAUUGCAUUUGUCAUACUUUUCGCAACCGUGGGUUUUGUGUUUUUCCUGUUCAUUCAUUUUUUCGAAACGUUCUAUUUCCUGAACCAUGCGUGAUGUAGACUCGACUAGAUGGCGAGUCGUUCGUCGGCCCGAACUUUCACGGUACUAGCAGCAACAAGAAAUUCCGAUCGAGCAAAGAUACAAGACCGUAAUAUCAAAAACUGGCGUCGAGUAGAUGAAUCAACUCCACGCGUAGCAGCGAAAAAAUCCGUCACGGAUCAGCAAAAGCAAACACGAUAUUUGGUGUCCCCCGACAUGGGACUUUUCUGACUUUUAUUCAACUCACGAUCUAAACAAAACUUCUCAAAUAAAACCCUCACCCUGUACACGGCCGUAGCCGGCCCCUUAUAUAGGCGCACACAACCGACUCUCUAGCUAGCUUAAACUGACUUGGACUCCUACUCUUAUCCCAACUAACAAAUUAACAAACUUAAUUAUCCGGCACCGUUGAUCACAUAGCAACCUAUGAAAAACUAGGACUCUUCUUUAUUAGACCAAAAGAAAUCAACGUGACAUAUCCUUAAAUAAACUAAAUCUUGAUUUUCAUGGUGCCUACCAUCACGUAUUGGCUUGGUGUUCUAAACCGUGGCUCAACCUUGUCUUGUACUGGUAUUUUAAUUACCAUGUCCCCUAUUCGUAACAUAUGCCCUGCGCUACCUGAAGCUUGCUCCGUCGUUAGCUUGACUGCCCUGCAAUCUUUUGGUCCAUUGUUCUACUGCAUAUCAAGCUCGCGAUUUAUAGUAACGACAGCACCAGUACACCGUUGAGCCGGAAACAUAGCAAUGGCACUAGUGGCCACAUCAUUCCCUCUCUCUUGGAAUGAAGCCGUCCUCGGUUUCAUGGUAAAUUUUGGGACUGAAUCAAUAGCAUCUUGCUUUAUAUCACUAGAAAACAUCGGUCGGAGCACACGCCGUCUUCCAACAUCCCAGAAAGAAUAAGUAUUGGAUCUUCCUUCAUGUGUAGCAUGAUGAUCAUAUUGCCAUGGUCUACCUAACAAUAAGUGGCACGCAUCCAUUGGCAAUACAUCGCAAAUCACUGUAUCUGUAUAGUCACCGACUGAAAAAUUGACACGCACCUUGUGAGUAACUUUUAAUUUGCCAGACUGAUAUAACCACUCGAUGCAGUGCGGCUGCGGGUGUUUCCACGCUCGCAAUUCUAAUGCGUCCACCAAUGCCUUGCUGACCGCAUUGGUGUAGCUUCCACCAUCUAUGAUUAGCUUGCAACUUGUGUUGUUGAUCAUGCACUGAGUUUGAAAAAUAUUCCAACGCUGUCCUUUAUCCUCAAUACGAUCGUCUUGCACUCGCUGCACCAUUAGUGAAGGAUAUGACUCAGCAGCUUCAAAACUCGCAACGACAUUUUCAGUAUCCUUAGACUUUUCACUAGAAGUGUCAGAAACUGCCUCUUCAUCACUAGCGGAUGCAUAGCCAUCUCUCGUGAGCAACACUCUUUUCUCAUUAGGACAUUCACGCUUCAUAUGUCCCCUUCCUCCACACUUGAAACACUCUAUGCCACUAGUGCGGCCGGUCGAUUGUGCACUAGAAUCAACCAUCGACAGUCCUGAUUUUGGAGCAUCCUUUUGCACGGAACCAUGAGAGCGAUUUGAUGAUGUCGCCCUGGAGCUAGGUCCGUCAUCCUCAUUCUUAUGCUGCGAGCGUCGCCAUGUGUUCAAAGUGGCACAGGAAACUGUGUUGACUUGGCGUCGCUUAAUCUGUUGUUCCGCACGCACAGCUUGGUGCACAAGAUCUUGUAUGUUGUAGUAGACCACCAUCUCAACACGAUCCUGCACCUCGAUAUUUAGCCCGUUAAAGAAACGUGCCAUGGUCGCCUCUGGAUCCUCCGUUGUCCCUGUACGUAUCAUAAGCAAUUCCAUCUCCUUGUAAUAUUCAUCCACACUCAUAUUACCUUGAGAGAGCCGCUGCAACUUGUUGUACAUAUCUCUUUUAUAGUGCUCAGGAACAAAACGUCGCCUCAUGAAUUCUUUCAUACCUCGCCAAGUCGUCGGGCGAUGUCUUGAACGACAAAUUUGAUUCCACCAAAUUAGCGCGUAACCGGUGAACUCAAUUCCAGCAAGUUGAACUUUCUUCUCCUCACUAUAAUGAUGGGCAUCAAAAAUUUGAUCAACACGCAUCUCCCACUCCAAAUAGCCUUCUGGUUCGCACUUGCCGGAGAAAGAAGGGAUUGAAAUUUUUAUGCGCCCAAUUCCAUCGUCCAAAGGAACACGCACAGCUUGACCAACACGGUCAUGCGCUCCACCACGAGCGGAAGUUUCAGGACGAGGCUCAUAGUGUCGUGGUCGUGGAGCGUACCCCACUGCCUGGUCAACGCCGUCAUCAAGACCAUCAUCUCCAACAUGAGGUGCCGCCAAACGGCGAUCAUGCACGCCGGCAUGUCCGUCGUGAGCCGGUGGUGCAUAACGCAGUGGAGCAGCCGGAGCAGUCUGUGGUGGUGCAGAAUUCGUUGCCGGCAUAUUGAUGAUGUCUGCCAAACCAUCGAACCGAGUGAUCAGGACAUCUAUCCUUUUGCCGAGCGCAUCAUGACAUUGCUUGAUGUAGUUGCAUGUGUGGUCAAAACCAUCCCGAAUAUUUUGAGGAAUAUCAUCCGCGUACACUGGACGUACAAUUUCCUGAGAAUCAGCAGCAACCUCGUCUUCCUUGUUGACCGAGGUCGACAUCUUGAUCAACACAAUACCGUGAACAACCUUAGCUCUGAAUACCACUUGAUGUAGACUCGACUAGAUGGCGAGUCGUUCGUCGGCCCGAACUUUCACGGUACUAGCAGCAACAAGAAAUUCCGAUCGAGCAAAGAUACAAGACCGUAAUAUCAAAAACUGGCGUCGAGUAGAUGAAUCAACUCCACGCGUAGCAGCGAAAAAAUCCGUCACGGAUCAGCAAAAUCAAACACGAUAUUUGGUGUCCCCCGACAUGGGACUUUUCUGACUUUUAUUCAACUCAUGAUCUAAACAAAACUUCUCAAAUAAAACCCUCACCCUGUACACGGCCGUAGCCGGCCCCUUAUAUAGGCGCACACAACCGACUCUCUAGCUAGCUUAAACUGACUUGGACUCCUACUCUUAUCCCAACUAACAAAUUAACAAACUUAAUUAUCCGGCACCGUUGAUCACAUAGCAACCUAUGAAAAACUAGGACUCUUCUUUAUUAGACCAAAAGAAAUCAACGUGACAUAUCCUUAAAUAAACUAAAUCUUGAUUUUCAUGGUGCCUACCAUCACGUAUUGGCUUGGUGUUCUAAACCGUGGCUCAACCUUGUCUUGUACUGGUAUUUUAAUUACCAUGUCCCCUAUUCGUAACAUAUGCCCUGCGCUACCUGAAGCUUGCUCCGUCGUUAGCUUGACUGCCCUGCAAUCUUUUGGUCCAUUGUUCUGCUGCAUAUCAAGCUCGCGAUUUAUAGUAACGACAGCACCAGUACACCGUUGAGCCGGAAACAUAGCAAUGGCACUAGUGGCCACAUCAAUGCGUCCAAAUCACGAACAUUUUCACCGUUGCAUUUUUCGCGUUGAGAUAUUUGCAACUAGUGUUGGAAAUAUGCCCUAGAGACAAUAAUAAAUUAGUUAUUAUUAUAUUUCCUUGUUCAUGAUAAUCGUUUAUUAUCCAUGCUAGAAUUGUAUUGAUAGGAAACUCAGAUACAUAUGUGUAUACAUAGACAAUACCAUGUACCUAGUAAGCCUCUGUUUGACUAGCUCGUUGAUCAAUAGAUGGUUACGGUUUCCUGAACAUGGACAUUGGAUGCCGUUGAUAACGGGAUCACAUCAUUAGGAGAAUGAUGUGAUGGACAAGACCCAAUCCUAAAGCCUAGCACAAGAUCGUGUAGUUCGUUUGCUAAAGCUUUUCUAAUGUCAAGUAUCAUUUCCUUAGACCAUGAGAUUGUGCAACUCCCGGAUACCGUAGGAAUGCUUUGGGUGUACCAAACGUCACAACGUAACUGGGUGGCUAUAAAGGUGCACUGCGGGUAUCUCCGAAAGUGUCUGUUGGGUUGGCACGAAUCGAGACUGGGAUUUGUCACUCCGUGUAACGGAGAGGUAUCUCUGGGCCCAUUCGGCAGGACAUCAUCAUAAUGUGCAAAAUGUGACCAAGGAGUUCAUCACGGGAUGAUGUGUUAAUGGAACAAGUAAAGAGACUUGCCGGUAACGAGAUUGAACGAGGUAUCGGGAUACCCACGAUCGAAUCUCGGGCAAGUAUCGUACCGAUGGACAAAGGGAAUUGAAUACGUGAUUGAUUGAAUCCUCGACAUCAUGGUUCAUCCGACGAGAUCAUCAUGGAGCAUGUGGGAGCCAACAUGGGUAUCCAGAUCCCGCUGUUGGUUAUUGGCCGGAGAGUUGUCUCGGUCAUGUCUACAUGUCUCUCGAACCCGUAGGGUCUACACACUUAAGGUUCGGUGACGCUAGGGUUGUAGAGAUAUUAGUAUGCGGUAACCCGAAAGUUUUUCGGAGUCCCGGAUGAGAUCCCGGACGUCACGAGGAGUUCCGGAAUGGUCCGGAGGUGAAGAUUUAUAUAUAGGAAGUCCAGUUUAUGCCAUCGAGAAAGUUUCGGGAGUAAUCGGUAUUGUACCGGGACCACCGGAAGGGUCCCAGGGGUCCACCGGGUGGGGCCACCUAUCCCGGAUGGACCCAUGGGUUUAAGUGGGAGGGGAACCAGCCCCUGGUGGGCUGGUGCGCUCCCCAUGGGCCUCCCCCUGCGCCUAGGGUUGUAAACCCUAGGGGUGGGGGGCGCCCCACCUGACUUGGGGGGCAAGUCCCCCCCUUGGCCGCCGCCCCCCCUUGGAGAUUGGAUCUCCUAGGGCCGGCGCCCCCUAGGGGUCCUAUAUAUAGUGGGGGGAGGGAGGGUAGCUGCACCUGAGUCCCUGGCGCCUCCCUCUCCCUCCGUGACACCUCUCCCUAUUGUUGGUGCUUGGUGAAGCCCUGCCGAGAUCCCGCUGCUUCCACCACCACGCCGUCGUGCUGCUGGAUCUCCAUCAACCUCUCCUCUCCCCUUGCUGGAUCAAGAAGGAGGAGACGUCUCCGCUCCGUACGUGUGUUCAACGCGGAGGUGCCGUCCAUUCGGCGCUAGGAUCAUCGGUGAUUUGGAUCACGACGAGUAUGACUCCAUCAACCCCGUUCUCUUGAACGCUUCCGCUUAGCGAUCUUCAAGGGUAUGAAGAUGCACUCCCUCUCUCUCGUUGCUAGAUGACUCCAUAGAUUGAUCUUGGUGAUGCAUAGAAAAUUUUAAAUUUCUGCUAUGAUCCCCAACAGUGGCAUCAUGAGCUAGGUCUAUGCGUAGUUUCUAUGCACGAGUAGAACACAAAGUAGUUGUGGACGAUGAUUUGUUCAAUUUUCUUGCCGUUACUAGUCUUAUCUUGAUUCGACGACAUUGUGGGAUGAAGCGGCCCGGACCGACCUUACACGUACGCUUACGCGAGACUAGUUCCACCGACUGACAUGCACUUGAUGCAUAAGGUGGCUGGCGGGCGUGUGUCUCUCCUACUUUAGUCGGAUCGGAUUCGAUGAAAAGGGUCCUUAUGAAGGGUAAAUAGCAAUUGGCAUAUCACCAUUGUGGUUUUGCGUAGGUAAGAAACGUUCUUGCUAGAAACCCAUAGCAGCCACGUAAAACCUGCAACAACAAUUAGAUAACGUCUAACUUGUUUUUGCAGGGUUUGCUAUGUGAUGUGAUAUGGCUAAAAGGAUGUGAUGAAUGGUAUAUGUGAUGUAUGAGAUUGAUCAUGUUCUUGUAAUAGGAAUCACGACUUGCAUGUCGAUGAGUAUGACAACCGGCAGGAGCCAUAGGAGUUGUCUUAAUUUAUUUAUGACCUACGUGUCAAUGAAAAUGCCAUGUAAUUACUUUACUUUAUUGCUAACCGUUAGCCAUAGUAGUAGAAGUAAUAGUUGGCGAGAUCACUUCAUGAAGACACGAUGAUGGAGAUCAUGGUGUCAUGCCGGUGACGAUGGUGUUCAUGCCGCGCCUCGAAGAUGGAGAUCAAAGGCGCAAGAUGAUAUUGGCCAUAUCAUGUCACUUUACGAUUUGCAUGUGAUGUUUGUCAUGUUUACAUCUUAUUUGCUUAGAACGACGGUAGCAUAAAUAAGAUGAUCCCUCACUAAAAUUUCAAGAAAGUGUUCCCCCUAACUGUGCACCGUUGCUAAGGUCCAUUGUUCCUAAGCACCACGUGAUGAUCGGGUGUGAUAGGUUCUAACGUUCGCAUACAACGGGUGUAAGCCAGAUUUACACACGCAAUACAAUUAGGUUAACUUGACGAGCCUAGCAUGUACAGACAUGGCCUCGGAACAUAGAAGACCGAAAGGUCGAACAUGAGUCGUAUAGUGGAUACGAUCAACAUGAAGAUGUUCACCGAUGAUGACUAGUCCGUAUCACGUGAUGAUCGGACACGACCUAGUUGACUCGGAUCAUGUAUCACUUAGAUGACUAGAGGGAUGUCUAUCUAAGUGGGAGUUCAUUGAAUAAUUUGAUUAGAUGAACUUAAUUAUCAUGAACAUAGUCAAAAGGUCUUUGCAAAUUAUGUCUUAGCUCACGUUUUGGUUCUACUGUUUUAGAUAUGUUCCUAGAGAAAAUUAUGCGGACUGGGUCUGUGAACUGAGGAUUGUCCUCAUUGCUGCACAGAAGGGCUAUGUCCUUAAUGCACCACUCAGUGCGUUGAACCUCGAGCGUCGUCUGUAGAUGUUGGGAAACAUCUGACAUACACGUUUUGAUGACUACAUGAUAGUUCAGUGCAUAAUACUAACGGUUUAGAAUUGUGGCACCAAAGACGUUUUUGAAAUGUCACAGAACAUAUGAGAUGUUCCAAAGACUGAAAUUGAGAUUUCAGACUAGUGCCCAUGUCAAGAGGUAUGAGACCUUUGACAAGUUUCUUAAGCCUGCGAACUAAGGGAGAAAAGCUCAAUCGUUGAGCAUGUGCUUAGAUUGUCUGAGUACUACAAUCGCUUGAAUCGAGUGGGAGUUAAUCUUCCAGAUGAAAUAGUGAUGAUUCUCCAUAGUCACUGCCACCAAGCUAUUGGAGCUUCGUGAUGAACUAUAACAUAUCAGGGAUAGACAUGAUGAACCUUGAGCAACUCGCGAUGUUUGACACCGCGAAAGUAGAAAUCAAGUAGGAGCAUCAAUUGUUGAUGGUUAAACCACUAGUUUCAAGAAGGGCAAGGGAAAGAAUGGAUACUUCAUGAGACGACAAAUCAGUUGCUGCUCUAGUGAAGAAACCCAAGGUUGAACCAAACCCGAGACUAAGUGCUUCUAUAAUGAGGGAACGGUCAGUGAAGCAGAACUACCCUAGAUACUUGGUAGAUGAGAAGGCUGGCAAGGUCGAUAGAAGUAUUUUGGAUAUACGUUAUAUUAAUGUGUACUUUACUAGUACUCCUAGUAGCACCAUGGUAUUAAAAUACCGGUUCAGUUGCUAAGUGUUAGUAACUCGAAAUAAAAGGCUACGGAAUAAACGGAGACUAGCUGAAGGUGAGAUGACGAUAUAUGUUGGAAGUGUUUCCAAGGUUGAUAUGAUCAAGCAUCGCAUGCUCCCUCUACCAUCGAGAUUGGUGUUAAACCUAAAUAAUUGUUAUUUGGUGUUUGCGUUGAGCAUAGACAUGAUUGAAUUAUGUUUAUCGCCACACGGUUAUUCAUUUAAGGAGAAUAAUGGUUACUCUGUUUAUUUGAAUAAUACCUUCAAUGGUCUUGCACCUAAAAUGAAUGGUUUAUUGAAUCUCGAUCGUAGUGAUACACAUGUUCAUGCCAAAAGAUAUAUGAUAGUAAUGAUAGUACCACGUACUAGUGGCACUGCCAUUUGAGUCAUGUUGGUAUAAAACGCAUGAAGAAGCUCCAUGUUGAUGGAUCUUUGGACUCACUUGUUUUUGAAAAGAUUGAGACAUGCGAACCAUGUCUAUUGGUAGAUAUGCAUGAAGAAACUCCAUGCAGAUGGAUCGUUUGGACUCACUUGAUUUUGAAUCACUUAAGACAUGCAAAUCAUACCACAUGGGCAAGAUGACUGAAAGGCCUCGUUUUUAGUAAGAUGGAACAAGAAAGCAACUUGUUGGAAGUAAUACAUUUUGAUGUGUGCAGUCCAAUGAGUGCUGAGGCACGCAGUGGAUAUCAUUGUGUUCUUACUUCACAGAUGAUUUGAGUAGGUACUGAGUAUAUUUACUUGAUGAAACACAAGUCUGAAUUAUUGAAAGGUUUAAGUAAUUUCAGAGUGAAGUUGAGGAUCGUCAUGACAAGAUGAUAAAAUGUCUAUGAUAUGAUCAUAGAGAUGAAUAUCUGAGUUACGAGUUUGGCACACAAUUAAGACAUUGUGGAAAUUGUUUCACAACUAAUACCGCCUGGACCACCAUAGUGUGAUGGUGUGUCCGGAUAUCAUAACUGCACCCUAUUGGAUAUGGUGCAUACCAUGAUGUCUCUUAUCGAAUUACCACUAUCGUUUAUGGGUUAGGGAUUAGAGACAACCACAUUCACUUUAAAUAGGGCACCACACAAUUCCGUUGAGAUGACACCGUAUGAACUAUGGUUUAGAGAAAUCUAAGCUGUCGUUUCUUAAAAGUUUGGGGCUGCAGUGCUUAUGUGAGAAAGUUUCAGGCUGAUAAGCUCGAACCCAAAGCGGAUAAAUGCAUCUUCAUAGAAUACCCAAAAAUAGUUGGGUAUACCUCCUAUUUCAGAUCCGUAAGCAAAAGUGGCUGUUUCUAGAAACGGGUCCUUUCUCGAGGAAAAGUUUCUCUCGAAAGAAUUGAGUGGGAGGAUGGUGGAGACUUGAUGAGGUUAUUGAACCGUCACUUCAACUAGUGUGUAGCAGGGCACAGGAAGUUGUUCCUGUGGCACCUACACCAAUUGAAGUGAAAGCUUAUGAUAGUGAUCAUGAAACUUCGGAUCAAGUCACUACCAAACCUCAUAGGUCGAUAAGGAUGUGUACUACUUCAGAGUGGUACGUAAUCCUGUCUUGGAAGUCAUGUUGCUAGACAACAAUGAACCUACGAGCUAUGGAGAAGCGAUGGUGGGCCCGGAUUCCGACGAAUGGCUCGAGGCCAUAAAAUCCGAGAGAAGAUCCAUGUAUAAAACAAAGUAUAGACUUUGAAAGAAACACUUGAUGGUCGUAAGGCUGUUGGGUGCAGAUGGAUUUUAAAAGGAAGACAGACAAUGAUGGUAAGUGUCACCAUUAAGAAAGCUCGACUUGUCGUUAAGAUGUUUCCCGACAAGUUCAAGGAGUUGACUACGAUGAGAUUUUCUCACUCAUAGCGAUGCUAAGAGUCUGUUGGAAUUAUGUUAGCAGUUACUGCAUUGUUUAUGAAAUCUUGCAGAUAGGAUGUCAAAACGUUGUUUCCUCGAUAUUUUUCUUGAGGAAAGGUUGUAUGUGAUACAACCAGAAGGUUUUGUCAAUUCUGAAAGAUGCUGACAAGUAUGCAAAGCUCCAGCAAUCCUUCUAAGGACUGGAGUAAGCAUCUCGGAGUUGGAAUGUACGCUUUGAUGAGAUGAUCAAAGAUUUUGGGUUUAUACAAAGUUUAUGAGAAACUUGUAUUUCCAAAGAAGUGAGUGUUGGGGAACGUAGUAAUUUCAAAAAAAUUCCUACGCACACGCAAGAUCAUGGUGAUGCAUAGCAACGAGAGGGGAGAGUGUAAUCUACAUACCCUCGUAGACCGAUAGCGGAAGUGUUAUGACAACGCGGUUGAUGUAGUCAUACGUCUUCACGGCCCGACCGAUCAAGCACCGAAACUACGACACCUCUGAGUUCUAGCACACGUUUAGCUCGAUGACGACCCCCGGACUCUGAUCCAGCAAAGUGUCGGGGAAGAGUUCCAUCAACACGACGGCGUGGUGACGAUCUUGAUGUUCAACUGUCGCAGGGCUUCGCCUAAGCACCACUACAAUAUUAUCGAGGACUAUGGUGGAAGGGGGCACCGCACAUGGUUAAGAGAACGAUCUUACAGAUCAACUUGUGUGUCUAUGGGGUGCCCCCUGCCCUCGUAUAUAAAGGAGUGGAGGAGGGGAGGGCCGGCCCUCUCUAUGGCGUGCCCUAGGGGAGUCCUACUCCCACCGGGAGUAGGGUUCCCCUUUUCCUAGUCCAACUAGGAGUCCUUCCAUGUAGUAGGAGUAGGAGACAAGGAAGGGGAAGAGGGAAGAGAAGGAAGGAGGGGGCGCAGCCCCUCCCCCUAGUCCAAUUCGGACUAGGCCUUGGGGGGGCGCGCGGCCUGCCUCUCCCUCACCCCUAAAGCCCAAUAAGGCCCAUAUACUUCUUCCCCCGUAUUCCCGUAACUCCCCGGUACUCCAAAAAAUACCCGAACCACUCGGAACCUUUCCGAUGUCCGAAUAUAGUCGUCCAAUAUAUCGAUCUUUACGUCUCGACCAUUUCGAGACUCCUCGUCAUGUCCCCGAUCUCAUCCGGGACUCCGAACUCCUUCAUUACAUCAAAACUCAUAAACUCAUAAUAUAACUGUCAUCGAAACCUUAAGCGUGUGGACCCUACGGGUUCGAGAAUUAUGUAGACAUGACCAAGACACGUCUCCGGUCAAUAACCAAUAGCGGAACCUGGAUGCUCAUAUUGGCUCCCACAUAUUCUACGAAGAUCUUUAUCGGUCAGACCGCAUAACAAUAUACGCUGUUCCCUUUGUUAUCGGUAUGUUACUUGCCCGAGAUUCGAUCGUCGGUAUCUCAAUACCUAGUUCAAUCUCGUUACCGGCAAGUCUCUUUACUCGUUUCGUAAUACAUCAUCUCGCAACUAACUCAUUAGUUGCAAUGCUUGCAAGGCUUAUGUGAUGUGCAUUACUGAGAGGGCCCAAAGAUACCUCUCCGACAAUCGGAGUGACAAAUCCUAAUCUCGAAAUACGCUAACCCAACAUGUACCUUUGGAGAUACCUGUAGAGCUCCUUUAUAAUCACCCAGUUACGUUGUGACGUUUGGUAGCACACAAAGUGUUCCUCCGGCAAACGGGAGUUGCAUAAUCUCAUAGUCAUAGGAACAUGUAUAAGUCAUGAAGAAAGCAAUAGCAACAUACUAAACGAUCGGGUGCUAAGCUAAUUGAAUGGGCCAUGUCAAUCACAUCAUUCUUCUAAUGAUGUGAUCCCGUUAAUCAAAUAACAACUCUUUUAUUCAUAGUUAGGAAACAUAACCAUCUUCGAUUAACGAGCUAGUCAAGUAGAGGCAUACUAGUGACACUCUGUUUGUCUAUUUAUUCACACAUGUAUUAUGUUUCCGGUUAAUACAAUUCUAGCAUGAAUAAUAAACAUUUAUCAUGAUAUAAGGAAAUAAAUAAUAACUUUAUUAUUGCCUCUAGGGCAUAUUUCCUUCAGUCUCCCACUUGCACUAGAGUCAAUAAUCUAGUUCACAUCGCCAUGUGAUUCAACACUAAUAGUUCACAUCACCAUGUGAUUAACACCCAUAGUUCACAUUGUCAGGUGACCUAUACCCAAAGGGUUUACUAGAGUCAGUAAUCUAGUUCACAUCGUUUAUGUGAUUAACACCCAAAGAGUACUAAGGUGUGAUCAUGUUUUGCUUGCGAGAUAAUUUUAGUCAACGGGUCUGUCACAUACAGAUCCAUAAGUAUUUUGCGAAUUCUAUGUCUACAAUGCUCUGCACGGAGCUACUCUAGCUAAUUGCUCCCACUUUCAAUAUAUAUCUAGAUCGAGACUUAGAGUCAUCCAGAUCUGUGUCAAAACUUGCAUCGACGUAACUUUUUACGAUGAACCUUUUGUCACCUUCAUAAUUGAGAAAUAUUUCCUUAUUCCACUAAGGAUAAUUUUGACCGUUGUCCAGUGAUCUACUCUUAGAUCACUAUUGUACUCCCUUGCUUAACACAGUGUAGGGUAUACAAUAGAUUUGGUACACAGCAUGGCAUAUUUAUAGAACCUAUGGCUGAGGCAUAGGGAAUGACUUUCAUUUUCUUUCUAUCUUCUGCCGUGGUCGGGCUUUGAGUCUUACUCAAUUUCAUACCUUGUAACACAGCCAAGAACUCUUUCUUUGACUGUUCCAUUUUUGAACUACUUCAAAAUAUUGUCAAGGUAUGUACUUAUUGAAAAAACUUAUCAAACGUCUUGAUCUAUCUCUAUAGAUCUUGAUGCUUAAUAUGUAAGCAGCUUCACCGAGGUCUUUCUUUAAAAAACUUCUUUCAAAACACUCCUUUAUGCUUUGCAAAAUAAUUCUACAUUAUUUCCGAUCAACAAUAUGUCAUUCACAUAUACUUAUCAGAAAUGCUGUAGUGCUCCCACUCACUUUCUUGUAAAUACAGGCUUCACCGCAAGUCUGUAUAAAACUAUAUGCUUUGAUCAACAUAUCAAAGCGUAUAUUCCAACUCCGAGAUGCUUGCACCAGUCCAUAGAUGGAUCGCCGGAGCUUGCAUAUUUUGUUAGUACCUUUAGGAUCGACAAAACCUUCUGGUUGCAUCAUAUACAACUCUUCUCUAAUAAAUCCUAUUAAGGAAUGUAGUUUUGUUUAUCCAUUUGCCAGAUUUCAUAAAAUGCGGCAAUUGCUAAUAUGAUUCGGACAGACUUAAGCAUGGAUACGAGCGAGAAACUCUCAUCCUAGUCAACAUCUUAAACUUGUCGAAAACCUUUUUGCGACAAUUCUACCUUUGUAGAUAGUAACACUACUAUCAGCGUCCGUCUUUCUCUUGAAGAUCCAUUUAUUUUCAAUUGCUUACCGAUCAUCAGGCAAGUCAACAAAGUCCAUACUUUGUUUUUCAUACAUGGAUCCCAUCUCAGAUUUCAUGGCUUCAAGCCAUUUUGCGGAAUCUGGGCUCAUCACCGCUUCCUCAUAGUUCGUAGGCUCGUCAUGGUCAAGUAACAUGACCUCCAGAACAGGAUUACCGUACCACUCUGGUGCGGAUCUCACUCUGGUUUACCUACGAGGUUCGGUAGUAACUUGAUCUGAAGUUACAUGAUCAUCAUCAUUAGCUUCCUCACUAAUCGGUGUAGUAGUCACAGGAACAGAUUUCUGUGAUGAACUACUUUCCAAUAAGGGAGAAUGUACAAUUACCUUAUCAAGUUCUACUUUCCUCCCACUCACUUCUUUCAAGAGAAACUCCUUCUCUAGAAAGGAUUCAUUCUCAGCAAUGAAUAACUUGCCUUCGGAUCUGUGAUAGAAGGUGUACCCAACAUUUUCUUUUGGGUAUCCUAUGAAGAUUUACUUCUCCGAUUUGGGUUCGAGCUUAUCAAGUUGAAACUUUUUCACAUAAGCAUCGCAGUCCCAAACUUUAAGAAACGACAGCUUAGGUUUCUCGCCAAACCACAGUUCAUACGGUGUCAUCUCAACGGAUUUAGAUGGUGCCCUAUUUAACAUGAAUGUAGCUGUCUCUAAUGCAUAACCCCAAAACGAUAGUGGUAAUCGGUAAGAGACAUCAUAGAUCGCACCAUAUCUAAUAAAGCACGGUUUUGACGUUCGGACACACCAUUAUACCGUGGUGUUCCAGAUGGCGUGAGUAGUGAAACUAUUUCACAUUGUUUUAACUGAAGGCCAAACUCGUAACUCAAAUAUUUUAUUUCCACGAUCAUAUCGUAGAAACUUUUAUUUUUGUUACGAUGAUUCUCCACUUCACUCUGAAAUUCUUUGAACUUUUCAAAUAUUUCAAACUUGUGUUUCAUCAAGUAGAUAUACUCAUAUCUGCUCAAAUCAUCUGUGAAGAUCAGAAAAUAAUGAUACCUGUCGCGAGCCUCAAUAUUCAUCGGACCACAUACAUCAGUAUGUAUGAUUUCCAACAAAUCUGUUGCUCGCUCCAUUGUUCCGAAGAACGGAGUCUUAGUCAUCUUACCCAUGAGGCAUGGUUCGCAAGCAUCUAGUGAUUCCAAAAGCCCAUCAGCAUGGAGUUUCUUCAUGCGCUUUACACCAAUAUGACCUAAACGGCAGUGCCACAAAUAAGCUGCACUAUCAUUAUUAACUUUGCAUCUUUUGGUUUCAAUAUUAUGAUUAUGUGUAUCACUACGAUCGAGAUCCAAUGAACUAUUUUCAUUGGGUGUGUAACCAUAUAAGGUUUUAUUCAUGUAAACAGAACAACAAUUUAUUCUCUUACUUAAAUGAAUAAUCGUAUUACAUUAAACAUGAUCAAAUCAUAUUCAUGCUCAACGCAAACACCAAAUAAUAUUUAUUUAGGUUCAACACUAAUCCCGAAAGUAUAGUGAGUGCGCGAUGAUGAUCAUAUCAAUCUUGGAACCACUUCCAACACACAUCGUCACUUCACCCUUAACUAGUCUCUGUUUAUUCUGCAACUCCCGUUUCGAGUUACUAAUCUUAGCAACUGAACUAGUAUCAAAUACUGAGGGGUUGCUAUAAACACUAGUAAAGUACACAUCAAUAACAUAUAUAUCAAAUAUACUUAUGUUCACUUUGCCAUCCUUCUUAUCCGCCAAUCACUUGGGGUAGUUCCGCUUCCAGUAACCAGUCCCUUUGCAGUAUAAUCACUUAGUCUCAGGCUUAGGACCAGACUUGGGCUUCUUCACUUGAGCAGCAACUUGCUUGUCGUUCUUCUUGAAGUUCCCCUUCUUCCCUUUGCCCUUUUCUUGAAACUAGUGGUCUUGUCAACCAUCAACACUUGAUGCUCUUUCUUGAUUUCUACCUUCAUCGAUUUCAUCAUCAUGAAAAGCUCGGGAGUCAUUUUCGUCAUCCCUUGCAUACUAUAGUUCAUCACGUAGUUCUACUAACUUGGUGAUGGUGACUAGAGAAUUCUGUCAAUCACUAUCUUAUCUGGAAGAUUAACUCCCACUUGAUUCAAGCGAUUGUAGUACCCAGACAAUCUGAGCACAUGCUCACUAGUUGAGCGAUUCUCCUCCAUCUUUUAGCUAUAGAACUUGUUGGAAACUUCAUAUCUCUCAACUCGGGUAUUUGCUUGAAAUAUUAACUUCAACUCCUGGAACAUCUCAUAUGGUCCAUGACAUUCAAAACGUCUUUGAAGUCCCGAUUCUAAGCCGUUAAUCAUGGUACACUAAACUAUCAAGUAGUCAUCAUAUUGAGCUAGCCAAACGUUCAUAACGUCUGCAUCUGCUCCUGCAAUAGGUCUGUCACCUAGCGGUGCAUUAAGGACAUAAUUCUUCUAUGCAGCAAUGAGGAUAAACCUCAGAUCACGGAUCCAAUCCGCAUCAUUGCUACUAACAUCUUUCAACACAAUUUUCUCUAGGAACAUAUCAAAAUAAACAUAUAAAAGCAACAACGCGAGCUAUUGAUCUACAACAUAGAUAUGCUAAUACUACCAGGACUAAGUUCAUGAUAAAUUAAAGUUCAAUUAAUCAUAUUACUUAAGAACUCCCACUUAGAUAGACAUCCCUCUAAUCCUCUAAGUGAUCACGUGAUCCAAAUCAACUAAACCAUAACCGAUCAUCACGUGAAAUGCAGUAGUUUUCAAUGGUGAACAUCGCUAUGUUGAUCAUAUCUACUAUAUGAUUCACGCUCGACCUUUCGGUCUCAGUGUUCCGAGGCCAUAUCUGCAUAUGCUAGGCUCGUCAAGUUUAACCUGAGUAUUCUGCAUGUGCAAAACUGGCUUGCACCCGUUGUAGAUGGACGUAGAGCUUAUCACACCCGAUCAUCAUGUGGUGUCUGGGCACGAUGAACUUUGACAAUGGUGCAUACUCAGGGAGAACACUUUUAUCUUGAAAUUUAGUGAGAGAUCAUCUUAUAAUGCUACCGUCAAUCAAAGCAAGAUAAGAUGCAUAAAAGAUAAACAUCACAUGCAAUCAAUAUAAGUGAUAUGAUAUGGCCAUCAUCAUCUUGUGCUUGUGAUCUCCAUCUCCGAAGCAUCGUCAUGAUCACCAUCGUCACUGGCGCGACACCUUGAUCACCAUCAUAGCAUCGUUGUCGUCUCACCAAUCUUAUGCUUCCACGACUAUCGCUACCGCUUAGUGAUAAAGUAAAGCAUUACAACGCGAUUGCAUUGCAUACAAUAAAGCGACAACCAUAUGGCUCCUGCCAGUUGCCGAUAACUCGGUUACAAAAACAUGAUCAUCUCAUACAAUAAAAUUUAGCAUCAUGUCUUGACCAUAUCACAUCACAACAUGCCCUGCAAAAACAAGUUAGACGUACUCUACUUUGUUGUUGCAAGUUUUACGUGGCUGCUACGGGCUUAAGCAAGAACCAAUCUUACCUACGCAUCAAAACCACAACGAUAGUUUGUCAAGUUGGUGCUGUUUUAACCUUCGCAAGGACCGGGCGUAGCCACACUUGGUUCAACUAAAGUUGGAGAAACUGACACCCGCCAACCACCUGUGUGCAAAGCACGUCGGUAGAACCAGUCUCGCGUAAGCGUACGCGUAAUGUCGGUCCAGGCCGCUUCAUCCAACAAUACCGCCGAACCAAAGUAUGACAUGCUGGUAAGCAGUAUGACUUAUAUCGCCCACAACUCACUUGUGUUCUACUCGUGCACAACAUCAACACAUAAAACCUAGGCUCGGAUGCCACUGUUGGGGAACAUAGUAAUUUCAAAAAAAUUCCUACGCACACGCAAGAUCAUGGUGAUGCAUAGCAACGAGAGGGGAGAGUGUAAUCUACGUACCCUCGUAGACCGAUAGCGGAAGCGUUAUGACAACGCGGUUGAUGUAGUCGUACGUCUUCACAACCCGACCGAUCAAGCACCGAAACUACGGCACCUCCGAGUUCUAGCACACGUUCAGCUUGAUGACGAUCCCCGGACUCCGAUCCAGUAAAGUGUCAGGGAAGAGUUCUGUCAGCACAACGGCGUGGCGACAAUCUUGAUGUUCAACUGUCGCAGGGCUUCGCCUAAGCACCACUACAAUAUUAUCGAGGACUAUGGUGGAAGGGGGCACCGCACACGGUUAAGAGAACGAUCUUAAAGAUCAACUUGUGUAUCUAUGGGGUACCCCCUGCCCCCGUAUAUAAAGGAGUGGAGGAGGGAAGGGCCGGCCCUCUCUAUGGCGCGCCCUAGGGGAGUCAUACUCCCACCGGGAGUAGGAUUCCCCUUUUCCUAGUCCAACUAGGAGUCCUUCCAUGUAGUAGGAGUAGGAGACAAAGAAGGGGAAGAGGGAAGAGAAAGAAGGAGGGGGCGCAGCCCCUCCCCCUAGUCCAAUUCGGACUAGGCCUUGGGGGGGUGCGCGGCCUGCCUCUCCCUCUCCCCUAAAGCCCAAUAAGGCCCAUAUACUUCUUCCCCCGUAUUCCCGUAACUCCAUGGUACUCCGAAAAAUACCCGAACCACUCAAAACCUUUCCGAUGUCCGAAUAUAGUCGUCCAAUAUAUCGAUCUCUACGUCUCGACCAUUUCGAGACUCCUCGUCAUGUCCCCGAUCUCAUCCGAGACUCCGAACUCCUUCGGUACAUCAAAACUCAUAAACUCUUAAUAUAACUGUCAUCGAAACCUUAAGCGUGCGGACCCUACGGGUUCGAGAAUUAUGUAGACAUGACCGAGACACGUCUCCGGUCAAUAACCAAUAGCGGAACCUGGAUGCUCAUAUUGGCUCCCACAUAUUCUGCGAAGAUCUUUAUCGGUCAGACCGCAUAACAACAUACGUUGUUCCCUUUGUCAUCGGUAUGUUACUUUCCCGAGAUUCGAUCGUCGGUAUCUCAAUACCUAGUUCAGUCUCGUUACCGGCAAGUCUCUUUACUCGUUUCGUAAUACAUCAUCUCGCAACUAACUCAUUAGUUGCAAUGCUUGCAAGGCUUAUGUGAUGUGCAUUACCGAGAGGGCCCAGAAAUACCUCUCCGACAAUCGGAGUGACAAAUCCUAAUCUCGAAAUACGCCAAUCCAACAUGUACCUUUGGAGAUACCUGUAGAGCUCCUUUAUAAUCACCCAGUUAUGUUGUGACGUUUGGUAGCACACAAAGUGUUCCUCCGGCAAACGGGAGUUGCAUAAUCUCAUAGUCAUAGGAACAUGUAUAAGUCAUGAAGAAAGCAAUAAUAACAUACUAAAUGAUCGGGUGCUAAGCUAAUUGAAUGGGUCAUGUCAAUCACAUCAUUCUUCUAAUGAUGUGAUCCCGUUAAUCAAAUAACAACUCUUUUGUUCAUGGUUAGGAAACAUAACCAUCUUCGAUUAACAAGCUAGUCAAGUAGAGGCAUACUAGUGACACUCUGUUUGUCUAUGUAUUCACACAUGUAUUAUGUUUCCGGUUAAUACAAUUCUAGCAUGAAUAAUAAACAUUUAUCAUGAUAUAAGGAAAUAAAUAAUAACUUUAUUAUUGCCUCUAGGGCAUAUUUCCUUCAGUGAGUGGGAGCACUAUAGAAUUUUUGAUGAGUAUAUGUUGUUAACAUAUUGUUGACCAGAAAUGAUGUAGAAUUUCUGGAAAGCAUGCAGGGUUAUUUGAAAAGUGUUUUUCAAUGAAAAAUCUGGAUUAAGCUACUUGAACAUUGAGCAUCAAGAUCUAUAAGGAUAGAUCAAAACGCUUUAUAGUACUUUCGAAUGUAUACAUACCGUGACAAGAUUUUGAAGGAGUUCAAAAUAGAUCAGCAAAGAAGGAGUUCUUAGCUGUGUUACAAGGUGUGAAUAUUGAGUAAGACUCAAGACCUGACCACGGCAUAAGAGAGAGAAAGGACGAAGGCCAUCCCCUAUGCUUUAGACAUAGGCUCUACAGUAUGCUAUGCUGUGUACCGCACCUGAAGUGUGCCUUGCCAUGAGUCAGUCAAGGGGUACAAGAGUGAUCCAGGAAUGGAUCACAUGACAGUGGUCAAACUUAUCCUUAUUAACUAGUGGACUAAGGAAUUUUCUCAUUAUGGAGGUGGUAAAAGAGUUUGUCAUAAAGGGUUACGCCGAUGCAAACUUUGACACUAACCCGGAUGACUCUGAGGAGUAAACCGGAUUCGUAUAGUAGAACAGUUAUUUGGAAUAGCUCCAAGUAGCGCGUGGUAGCUGCAUCUACAAGAUGACAUAGAGAUUUGUAAAGCACACACGGAUCUGAAAGGUUCAGAUCCGUUGACUAUAACAUCUCUCACAAGCAUAACAUGAUCAAACCUAGAACUCAUUGAGUGUUAAUCACAUGGUAAUGUGAACUAGAUUAUUGACUCUAGUAAACUCUUUGGGUGUUAGUCACAUGGGGAUGUGACCUUGAGUGUUAAUCACAUAGCAAUGUGACCUGGAUUAUUGACUCUAGUGCAAGUGGGAGACUGUUGGAAAUAUGCCCUAGAGGCAAUAAUAAAUUAGUUAUUAUUAUAUUUCCUUGUUCAUGAUAAUCGUUUAUUAUCCAUGCUAGAAUUUUAUUGAUAGGAAACUCAGAUACAUGUGUGGAUACAUAGACAAUACCAUGUCCCUAGUAAGCCUCUGGUUGACUAGCUCGUUGAUCAAUAGAUGGUUACGGUUUCCUGACCAUGGACAUUGGAUGUCGUUGAUAACGGGAUCACAUCAUUAGGAGAAUGAUGUGAUGGACAAGACCCAAUCCUAAAGCCUAGCACAAGAUCGUGUAGUUCAUUUGAUAAAGCUUUUCUAAUGUCAAGUAUCAUUUCCUUAGACUAUGAGAUUGUGCAACUCCCGGAUACCGUAGGAAUGCUUUGGGUGUACCAAACGUCACAACGUAACUGGGUGGCUAUAAAGGUGCACUGCGGGUAUCUCCGAAAGUGUCUGUUGGGUUGGCACGAAUCGAGACUCGGAUUUGUCACUCCGUGUAACGGAGAGGUAUCUCUGGGCCCACUCGGUAGGACAUCAUCAUAAUGUGCACAAUGUGACCAAGGAGUUGAUCACGGGAUGAUGUGUUAACGGAAUGAGUAAAGAGACUUGCCGGUAACGAGAUUGAACUAGGUAUCGGGAUACCGACGAUCGAAUCUCGGGCAAGUAUCGUACCGAUGGACAAAGGGAACUGAAUACGGGAUUGAUUGAAUCCUCGACAUCGUGGUUCAUCCGAUGAGAUCAUCGUGGAGCAUGUGGGAGCCAACAUGGGUAUCCAGAUCCCGCUGUUGGUUAUUGACCGGAGAGUUGUCUCGGUCAUGUCUACAUGUCUCCCGAACCCGUAGGGUCUACACACUUAAGGUUCGGUGACGCUAGGGUUGUAGAGAUAUUAGUAUGCGGUAACCCGAAAGUUGUUCGGAGUCCCGGAUGAGAUCCCGGACGUCACGAGGAGUUCCGGAAUGGUCCGGAGGUGAGAUUUAUAUAUAGGAAGUCCAGUUUCGGCCAUCGGAAAAGUUUCGGGGGUAAUCGGUAUUGUACCGGGACCACCGGAAGGGUCCCGGGGGUCCACCGGGUGGGGCUACCUAUCCCGGAGGGUCCCAUGGGUUGAAGUGGGAGGGGAACCAGCCCCUGGUGGGCUGGUGCGCCCCCCAUGGGCCUCCCCCUGCGCCUAGGGUUGGAAACCAUAGGGGUGGGGGGGCGCCCCACCUGACUUGGGGGGCAAGUCCCCCCUUGGCCGCCGCCCCCCAUGGAGAUUGGAUCUCCUAGGGCCGGCGCCCCCCUAGGGGUCCUAUAUAUAGUGGGGGGGGGGGGAGGGCAGCCGCACCCGAGUCCCUGACGCCUCCCUCUCCCUCCGUGACACCUCUCCCUAUAGUUGGUGCUUGGCGAAACCCUGCCGAGAUCCCGCUGCUUCCACCACCACGCCGUCGUGCUGCUGGAUCUCCAUCAACCUCUCCUCUCCCCUUGCUGGAUCAAGGAGGAGACGUCUCCGCUCCGUACGUGUGUUGAACGCGGAGGUGCCGUCCGUUCGGCGCUAGGAUCAUCGGUGAUUUGGAUCACGACGAGUACGACUCCAUCAAUCCCGUUCUCUUGAACGCUUCCGCUAGCGAUCUUCAAGGGUAUGAAGAUGCACUCCCUCUCUCUCGUUGCUAGAUGACUUCAUAGAUUGAUCUUGGUGAUGCAUAGAAAAUUUUAAAUUUCUGCUACGAUCCCCAACAACUAGAUCACAUGUUUUUUUAAGGAAAAUGCUGCUAUUUGUUGCUUAGUUCACGACGAUCUCCGCCGCAAGAAUGUCAUAAAUACAUUCUGGUGAAAAAUGAAGCCAAGUUUUACACAACUUAUUUAAGUAACCUUCCCUGGGCAGCACGAUUGGCCAUCUUCCUAGCCCAACACACAUGUCGCUCCGCCAUUGUGGCAAGUAGCUCCUUAAUCUCCUCGCUGAGGGGGCCAAACCUGGACCGAUCAAUGUCCUAUUGCAUCAAUGCUUGGGCAACUCCUUUGUUAUCUGUCUCCAAGAUAAUCUUCUCAACGCCAACUUCGCGAGCUAAUUGGAUCCUUUUUUACAAGUCAACAACUCCGCAUGAAUUGGAUCGACGGCCACCGGGAUAAAAUGACAUGCUCCUCCCACGAACACGCCAUGGGGGUCGCGGACGACCGCCCCUCCGCCACUAGAUCACAUGUUAAUAAUAACUUUGUGCAUUCGGUUAUAUGGUUUUUUAUUUGCACGGUCUUGAUACAUGGAUAAAUACUAUAUAUACCAAAUUAUUUAGUAUAGUUUUGGUAUAUGUCAUAAUAACCAAAUUUGACGCGAAUAUGAAAAUAACAUAAUAAUGUUUUAUAAAUUUAUCACUCAAAACACAUAUUUUUUUAUACAAAUAGUAUACAACUUUAUAUAAGUAUGCAUACUAUGCAAUGCAGUUACUGCGCUUCUCACUUUCGGGAAGGACAGUUGUGCUUCACGCGAAGCACUACUAUGUUUUUCACAUGGUGUGUUUCACGUGAGGAAAAAAGUAACAAAAAAGUAAAAUAAGUAAUUCAUGAAAGCCUAAAAAAAUUCCUCGCAAAAAAAAUGAAAGCCUAAAAAAACAACCAAAAUAUGGUGACAUUUCGAUACACCACAUCCGCCCCCCGAAAACCCAAAAACGCGCGCAAAAAAUUAGUGAUCCCGUUUGUGUGCCCAGCGCGUGAUUUAUGACGGCGGUGGAUACACCACAUGGCAUGUCUCCCCCUGUACGCCGCUGGUAUCCACUCUCCGGGGGUACCAGCUGACUGGUCAAUCCCUAUGUAUCGCUUAGUUUUUUUUUUUGAGAAAACCCUAUGUAUCGCUUAGUGCAACCCCUAUGAUAGUGCUCACCCACUAUGACCAUUCCUGGUGGGCCGGCCCAUUGGCCAGUAGUGAAUCAAUCGAGAGUGGUUUUGAAUUUUGGAGCGAAUUUGGGAAGCGAUCGCGGAUUGGGGAUCCGGUUUUAGAACCUUCCAGGAUCGACCGGGGGGUUCGAGAUUUGUUUUAGGAACCCUCGCGGUGGUUUUGGGAAGGUUUCAGCCACUUUUUUCUUUUUUUCCUGUACUGUAUUCCUAAUUUUAUUUCAACUUUCUAUUGGUUUUUUUUCCAUUCUUUCUCUUUUUUUCUAAAACUUUUUCAAAUUUGUGAACAAUUUUCAACUCAUGAACAUUUUUGCAGUUUGUGGACAACUUUUCCGUUCAUGAACAUUUUUUGAAUUCACAAAUAAUUUUUGAAUACGUGAACAUUUUUGAAUACAUGAAUAUUUUUUGAAUUCACAUAUAUUUUUGAACUCAUGAACUUUUUUUGAAUUCUCAAAUAUUGUUUUUCCAAGUUCACAAACAUUUUUCAAUUGGUGAAUAUAUUUUUAGGGUUUUAUCAGUUUUGCCAUCGGUUGUAUAACACUACUCAGUUCUGCCGCUAAAACUUUUCACUACUCAAAAAUGCCAUUGUUCCGUUAGACACAUACUCAAAAAUACCAUUUUUCAUCGUUACCGUCAAGUCAAUGCAAGUAUACCCCUGCUCUCAUUUUGCAUACCCUCUCCAUUAGUGUGGGCCACACUUGUCCCAUUUGUCAGGGAGUAAGGAUAAAGAAUUUCGAAGAAAAAAGAGGCCUGUCAGGGUUCGAACCAAUGACUUCACCGUGGAUGGAGGCGCAUGAAAACGAUUCCGACCAAUAUACACACUCGUUUGAAAUUAGAAAUAUUCUAAUACUAUAAUAUAUCUAGACCUAACUAAACAGACCCGACCUUGCUGAACCUAAUCCUUUGGUCGAUGAGUGGGAACCACAAAUCUUUAGCCGCCGUCGCCUGCCUAACUCCUCACCUGGCACCGCCGGUCGCCGAGCUGGCCACCUAGCUCCGGCACGCCUCCACUCGCCGCUGCUGCGGUGCCUCCUGCCGGGUGCCGCCACCCGCCGCAGCUUCGGCUCUGCCUUCGCCCAGCAUCGGCACUUGACACAGGCAGUUCCGACGCUUCUCCCGCUUGACUCCGGAGCUCCGGCGCUUCUCUUGCCUGAUUUUGCAGCUCCUUCCAAGUCUUGAAGUGCAACAGUUCCACGGGAAUGGUGACGGAUGAUACGUCUCCAACGUAUCUAUAAUUUUUGAUUGCUCCAUGCUAUAUUAUCUACUGUUUUUGACUAUAUUGGACUUUUAUAUUAUUUUUGGAACUAACCUAUUAACCGGAGGCCCAGCCCAGAAUUGCUGUUUUUUACCUAUUUCAGUGUUUCGGAUAAACAGAAUAUCAAACGGAGUCCAAACGGAAUAAAAUCUUCGGAAACGUGAUUUUCUCACCAAACGUGAUCCAGGAGACUUGAACCCUACUGCAAGGGAUCAAAGAGGUGGUCAAGAGGGUGGGGGGCGCGCCCCCCUGCCUCGUGGGCCCCUCGGUGCUCCAGCGAUGUACUCCUUCCUCCUAUAUAUACACACGUACCCCCAAACGAUCAGAACAGGAGCCAAAACCCUAAUUCCACCGCCGCAACUUUCUGUAUCCACGAGAUCCCAUCUUGAGCCUGUUCCGGAGCUCCGCCGGAAGAGGGUCGUCAUCACGGAGGGCUUCUACAUCAUCCUAGCCGCUCCGAUGAAGUGUGAGUAGUUUACCUCAGACCUUCGGGUCCAUAGUUAGUAGCUAGAUGGCUUCUUCUCUCUCUUUGAAUCUCAAUACAAAGUUCUCCCCCUCUCUUGUGGAGAUCUAUUCGAUGUAAUCUUCUUUUUGCGAUGUGUUUGUUGAGACCAAUGAAUUGUGGGUUUAUGAUCAAGUCUAUCUAUGAAUAAUAUUUGAAUCUUUUCUGAAUUCUUUUAUGCAUGAUUGGUUAUCUUUGCAAGUCUCGUCGAAUUAUCCGUUUGGUUUGGCCAACUAGAUUGGUAGUUCUUGCCAUGGGAGAAGUGCUUAGCUUUGGGUUCGAUCUUGCGGUGUCCUUACCCAUUGACAGAAGGGGCAGCAAGACACGUAUUGUAUCGUUGCCAUCGAGGAUAACAAGAUGGGGUUUAUCUCAUAUUGCAUGAAUUUAUCUCUCUACAUCAUGUCAUCUUGCUUAAGGCGUUACUCUAUUUUUAACUUAAUACUCUAGAUGCAUGCUAGAUAGCGGUCGAUGAGUGGAGUAAUAGUAGUAGAUGCAGAAUUAUUUUGAUCUACUUGUCACAGACGUGAUGCCUAUAUACAUGAUCAUGCCUAGAUAUUCUCAUAAUUAUGCACAAUUCUAUCAAUUGCUCAACAGUAAUUUGUUCACCCACUGUAGAAUACGUAUGCUCUUGAGAGAAGCCACUAGUGAAACCUAUGCCCUCCGGGUCUAUUCUCAUCAUAUCAAUCUCCAUCACUUUUAUAUUUUUUUGCUAUUUAGUUUGCUUUUACUUUUUACUUUGCAUCUUUAUAUCAAAAAUACCAAAAAUGUUCUAUCUAUCAGAUCUCACUCUCGUAAGUGACCCUGAAGGGCUUGACAACCCCUAAUCGCGUUGGUUGCGAGUAGCUAUCGCUUUGUGCAGGUACGAGGGACUUGAGCGUGGGCUCCUACUAGAUUGAUACCUUGGUUCUCAAAAAUUGAGGGAAAUACUUAUGCUACUCUGCUGCAUCAUCCCUUCCUCUUCGGGGAAAACCAACACAAGCUCAAGACGUAGCAAGAAGGAUUUCUGGCGUCGUUGCCAGGGAGUCUACGCAAAAAGUCAAUAUACCAAGUACCCAUCACAAUCCCUAUCUCUCGCAUUACAUUAGUUGCCAUUUGCCUCUCGUUUUCCUCUCUCCCCAAUUCACCCUUGCCGUUUUAUUCGCCCUCUCUCUCUCUAUCCUCCCUCUUUAUUUGCCUCUUUUAUUUGCUUGCUUUUUGUUUACUCGUAUGGUUGGAAUAGUUGUUUAUUUAUUACUAAACAGAGAACUUAAGAUCUAUGGAUCCUCUCCGCUUGCCAAUCUUUUUAAGGGAUCCAAUUAUGAUGAACCAAUUCCUAGUGAUUUGGAUGCACUAGAUUAUCUUUUAUAAGCUUUUGCGUGAAAUCCGUAAAUCUGAAAAUUGUGAUGAAGUGCUUUAUGAAGUGACUCAUGAUAGAUCUUUGAAUAAAAAGCAUGAUUGCAAUGAUUUUAUUAUAAAUUCUCUUAAUGUCAAUUGUGCUAAUAAGAUGCAAAACCCUAAGCUUGGGGAUGCUAGUUUUGCUAUGUCUACUACUUGUUGCAAUGAUUAUGAUUGGGGUGAUUCUUCUUAUGAUCUUGAAAAUUUAUUUAAACCCCAUGAUAAAUAUGAGAUUGAUAAUAGUGUUUGCAAAAUUAUUGAAAGUGGGUUUGGAGAAGUCAUGACUUUAGUUAAUGUUAAUCCCAUUAUUUUGGAAGAGUGUCAACUUUGCAUGCAUGUGGAUCAUGUUGAAAAUAUUUUAUGUGAUAGCUAUUUUGUUGAAUUUGCUUAUGAUCCUACAUGUAAUUACUAUGAGAGAGGAAAAUAUGGUUGUAGAAAUCUUCAUGUUACUAAAUUACCUCUCGUUAUGUUGAGAUUGCUAUUGUUUCUUUCCGCUUCCUUGCAUCUGCUAGUUUUUGCUAGCCUUGACAAUUUAUUUGCCUAUAAGAUGCCUAUGCAUAGGAAUUAUGUUAGACUUAGAUGUGUUUGUCACAUGUUUUAUGAUGCCCUCUUUGUGCUUCAAUUCUUGUCUUUCAUGUGAGAAGCAUUAAAAUUAUCAAUGCCUAGCUAAGUAGGCUUUAAAGAAAAGCGCUUAUUGAGAGACAACCCAAUAUUUUUCCUUGAUGUUAUUUAAUAAAUAAAUUAUUUAGCCUCUGUUUUGGUUGUCUUUUUUGUGUUUAAUUAGUGUUUAUGCCAAGUAGAACCAUUGGGAAGACUUGGGGAAAGUCUUGUUGAACUUGCUGUAAAAAACAGAAACUUUAGCGCUCACGAGAACUGCUGUCAUUUUUAUUUGAAGAGUACUAUUUAGUUAAUUCUUUUUGCAUAUGAUUAAUAUGAUAUGUGUUUUGUUUGGAGCGUCUUGUAUUAUUUGUGUCUUUGUUUGUUAGUAUGCCACAAUCAUCCUUACUGUACACACCUUUUGAGAGAGCCAUAUAUGAAUUAAAAUUUGAUAGAAUACUCUAUGUGCUUCACUUAUAUCUUUUGAGCUAGAUAAUUUUGCUCUAUGUGCUUCACUUAUAUCUUUUGAGCUAGAUAAUUUUGCUCAAUGUGUUUCACUUAUAUCUUUUGAGCUAGAUAAUUUUGCUCUAUGUGCUUCACUUAUAUCUUUUGAGCUAGAUAAUUUUACUUUAUGUGCUCCACUUAUAUCUUUUGAGCGUUAUAAUUUUGCUCUAUGUGCUUCACUUAGAUCUUUUAGAGCACGAUGGUGGAUUCGUUUUAAAGAAACUAUUGAUCUCUCAUGCUUCACUUAAAUUAAUUUGAGAGUCUCUUAAUAGCAUGGUAAUUUGCCUAAUAAUAAUAUGCUUGGUAUUCAAGAUUUGUGAAACUUUCUUUUAAGUGUGUUGAAUACUAAGAAAAGAUUGAAGCAUGAUAAUUGUUUUGAGAUAUGGAGGUGAUAAUAUUAAAGUCAUGCUAGUUGAGUAGUUGUGAAUUUAAAGAAUACUUGUGUUGAAGUUUGUGAUUCCCGUAGCAUGCACGUAUGGUGAGCCGUUAUGUGAUGAAGUCGGAGCAUGAUUUAUUUAUUGAUUGUCUUCCUUAUAAGUGGCGGUCGGGGACGAGCGAUGGUCUUUUCCUACCAAUCUAUCCCCCUAGGAGCAUGCGCGUAAUACUUUACUUUGAUAAUUUCUAAAUUUUUGCAAUAAGUAUAUGAGUUCUUUAUGACUAAUGUUGAGUCCAUGGAUUAUACACACUCUCACCCUUCCACCCUUGCUAGCCUCUCUAAUACCGCGCAACUUUCGUCGGUAUCAUACACCUACCAUAUACCUUCCUCAAAACAGCCAGCAUACCUACCUAUUAUGGCAUUUCCAUAGCCAUUCCGAGAAAUAUUGCCAUGCAACUUUCCACCAUCUAGUUCAUCAUGACACAUCCAUCAUUGUCAUAUUGCUUAGCAUGAUCAUGUAGUUGACAUAGUAUUUGUGGCAAAGCCACCGUUCAUAAUUCUUUCAUACUUGUCACUCUUGAUUCAUUGCAUAUCCCGGUACACCGCCGGAGGCAUUCGUAUAGAGUCAUACUUUGUUUUAGUAUCGAGUUGUAAUCAUUGAGUUGUAAAUAAAUAGAUGUGUGAUGAUCAUCAUUCAAUAGAGCAUUGUCUCAAAAAAAAGAGAAAGGCCAAAGAAAGAAAGAAGGCCCCAAAAAAUAAAAAAGGGGCAAUGCUACUACCAUUUUGUCCACACUUGUGCUUCAAAGUAGCACCAUGAUAUAGCAAGUCUCAUAUAUUGUGCUUCAAAGUAGCACCAUGUUCUUUAUAUAGAGAGUCUCAUAUGUUGUCACUUUCAUAUACUAGUGAGAAUUUUACGUUAUAGAAGUUGGCUUGUAUAUUUCAAUGAUGGGCUUCCUCAAAUUGCCCUAGGUCUUCAUGAGCAAGCAAGUUGGAUGCACACCCACUAGUUUCUUUUGUUGAGCUUUCAUACAUUUAUAGCUCUAGUGCAUCCGUUGCAUGACAAUCCCUACUCACUCACAUUGACAUCUAUUGAUGGGCAUCUCCAUAACCCGUUGAUACGCCUAGUUGAUGUGAGACUAUCUUCUCCUUUUUGUCUUCUCCACAGCCACCAUUCUAUUCCACAUAUAGUGUUAUAUCCAUGGCUCACGCUCAUGUAUUGCGUGAAGAUUGAAAAAGUUUUGAAAAAGUUAGAGUAUGAAACAAUUGCUUGGCUUGUCAUCGGGGUUGUGCAUGAUUUAAAUACUUUGUGUGGGAAAGAUGGAGCAUAGCCAGGCUAUAUGAUUUUGUAGGGAUAACUUUCUUUGGCCAUGUUAUUUUGAGAAGACAUAAUUGCUUUGUUAGUAUGCUUGAAGUAUUAUUAUUUUCUAUAUCAAUAUAAAAUUUUGUCUUGAAUCUUUCUAAUCUGAAUAUUCAUACCACAAUUAAGAAGAUUUGCAUUGCAAUUAUGCCAAGUAGCACUCCGCAUCAAAAAUUCUCUUCUUAUCAUUUACCUACUCGAGGAUGAGCAGGAAUUAAGCUUGGGGAUGCCUGAUACAUCUCCAAUAUAUCCAUAAUUUUUGAUUGCUCCAUGCUAUAUUAUCUACUAUUUUGGACUAUAUCUGGCUUUAUUUUCACUUUUAUAUUAUUUUUGGGACUAACCUAUUAACCGAAGGCCCAGCCUAGAAUUGCUGUUUUUUUGCCUAUUUCAGUGUUUCAGAUAAACAGAAUAUCAAACGGAGUCCAAACGGAAUAAAAUCUUUAGAAACGUGAUUUUCUCACUGAACAUGAUCCAGGAGACUUGGACCCUACUGCAAGGGAUCAAAGAGGUGGUCAUGUGGGGGGCGCGCCCCCCUAGGGUGCGCGCUCCUGCCUCGUGGGCCCCUCGGUGCUCCAUCGACGUACUCCUUCCUCCUAUAUAUACACAUUUGUCACAGACGUGAUGCCUAUAUACAUGAUCAUGCCUAGAUAUUCUCAUAAUUAUGCACAAUUCUAUCAAUUGCUCAACAGUAAUUUGUUCACCCACUGUAGAAUACUUAUACUCUUGAGAGAAGCCACUAGUGAAACCUAUGGCCCCCGGGUCUAUUCUCAUCAUAUCAAUCUCCAUCACUUUUAGAUUAUUUUGCUAUUUACUUUGCUUUUACUUUUUACUUUGCAUUUUAUAUCAAAAAUACCAAAAAUAUUCUAUCUAUCAGAUCUCACUCUCGUAAGUGACCGUGAAGGGCUUGACAACCCCUAAUCGCGUUGGUUGCGAGUAGCUAUCGCUUUGUGCAAGUACGAGGGACUUGAGCAUGGGCUCCUACUGGAUUGAUACCUUGGUUCUCAAAAACUGAGGGAAAUACUUACGCUACUCUGCUGCAUCAUCCCUUUCUCUUCGGGGAAAACCAACGCAAGCUCAAGACGUAGCAACGGACAACAGUCCCGAAUCGGAGGGUUGCGGCGGCCACCGGACACCCCAACAAGUUGUUGUGUUGGCAUAUUAUUCCAUGUAGACAAUACGAAGGAUAGCUCCUCAUACUAGAGGCUUCCGUAGCUUAGUUGGUUAACGCGCGCGACGUGCAGGUCCUGGUCAUGGGUUCGAAACCCUGCAAUGCCAACUUUUUAUUUUUGUUUUCAUGCGCCCCUUACAGAUGGGACCACAAGCCAAGAGAGAGGCGGUUUGACAAACGGGAUAGGGGUAUUUUCGUCCUACCUUCAGUCAACGUGCAUUGACCUGACGGUAACAGUGAAAAAUGGUCUUUCUGAGCACAUGUCUAACGAAACGGUGGCGUUUUUUAGUAGUGAAAAUUUUUAGUGGCAAAACUAAGUAGUUUUAUACAAUCAAGGUAAAACUGGCGAAUAGUUUUGUCAAACUGACAUAAUUUAUUUCGGAUUUAUGAAAUUUUUCCAAAAUUUAAAAUGAAGCGAUCAAAAUAAAGAAAAAACAUUGUGGAAAACAAAAAGAAAGGGCGACACUGCCGUCCUUGAACAAUGUUUUCCUUUUUCUCUAGUCUAUUUCCUUUAACUAUUUGCAUAAUCUAUAUACCUACUAAUAAAAGAUAUAGGUAUUUUUAGUCCGUCAUACUAUUUUAUAGAAAAUCCCCUAUUUUUUCUGACAUUAAACCCACAGUAGAUAUCUAAUAUUUUUUAAAAUACUCAUAUCUUCUAAAGCGUAACUCCAAAUUUAACAUGUUAUAUAUCAAUUUUGAUUAGAAAAAUAUGUACUCCCUCCUUCCAUCUAUAUAGGGCCUAAUACGUUUUUCAAGACCGCCUUUGACUAUUGAUAAAAUUAAUACCACAUGACAUACAUAAUGUGAAAAUUAUAUCAUUGAAAGCUCCUUUCACAUACGAAUUUGAUGAUGUGCUUUGUGUAAAUUGCAUGUCAUAUAUUAUUGCUCUAACAUUUGGUCAAAGUUAGCCUCGAAAAACACAUUAGGCCCUAUAUAGAUGGAAGGAGGGAGUAGAACCUAAAUAUGAUAUUAUUUUACCUGAUAACAAUUUAAAAAAUAUACUAACUAUGGUGCAAUCUUAAUCAGUAAUGCAUUAUCCGUCUUUCUUUCAAACCGAUAGUGAUUCGGAUUGAGGAUGAACACCUCAGCAAAUCUAUGGUGCAAUCUUAAUCAAUAAUACAUUAUCCAUCUUUCUUUCAUGCUGAUAGUGAUUCGGAUUGGGGAUGAACACCUCAGCAAAAUCAGGAUUGGACACAGAAUUGAAGAUAAAUUUGCUACAAACACCCAAUAAAUAAGGACAUGCAUGACAACAAAUAAAAGAAGGACCCAAUAAAAUGGGAUGUCUGCUAUGAAAAGAAAAGAAAAUGCAAAGGAGAUAUGAUAAAGAUGAGAUGUUGCGCUAUUCUCAUAUAUACUCCCUCCGUCCCAAAAUAGGUGUCUCAAGCUUAGUAUAAAUUUGUACUAGAGUUAGUACAAAGUUGAGACACUUAUUUGGGACGAAGGGAGUAUAAGAAAGAAGAAAGAGAGGACAUGCAUGGCAAAAAGUAAAAAGGAGGCAUGCAUGACAAAAAAUAAAAUAAAAGACAUGCUUAACAAGAUAUAAAUAAUGAUGAAACAGAGACCAAUACCUAUGACAUGUAUGGCAAGAAAUAGUGCUGAAAUAUGGACGCAAGUAUCUGUGUCUACAGGAGACCAUACAAAAAUGUUCUUUUAUAGACAAAAAUAUCUCUCUUUAUGCUUAAAACAUCUUAUAUCUUUUUAACAACUCUUCAUGUAUUUAACAAAUAUGCAUGUGAAAAAAAGUGUUCAAGAGUCACCCUAAGUUGGUGAUGCUUAAACUGAAAACCAACCUUGAUGCACACGUUUUCGUAGUGUGCUAAUGUGUCAUCGUCUGUUUUUGUCGUUUUUCUUUACCGUCCCGUAAUAAUACCCCAUUUCACACAUAACAUGAAUAAAUACAUGAUCACUUGCCCGUUUCUUUGUACGGAUUAAAUGUAUAUGAAAGCCGUGUUGAAAUAAAAUACUUGUGCAAUCUUGAACUGCGCUUUUGUAGGCUAAGACCAUCUUUGUUUGAGCCAUAGCUACAAAUUCUCAGACUAUAGAUAUUUUUUGUAAAUUGAAAGCGUGUGUUAUUUUUUCGGACUUUUUGCUAGUGUCUUUAAUGAAAAUAAAGGACUGCUGUGGCGCGCUUGGCCAGGCCCAUGUAGCGAGCGACCCAAUCCAGCGGGCGAGCAGCACGAGGGCCCGAGUUGAACGCAAAGGCUAUAUCUCGCUCAUAGCGAAGCUUCCUUCGGUCUCGCUUAGAUUAGUCUGUUGCAACAUUGUCAAAGAAAAAAAAACCGGUUUUUCAUUGUUUAUUUCCGUUUUUUUAUUUUACAUUCGUUUUUCUUAGUUUCUUUCUCUAUUUUAUUGUUUUAUUAUUUUCUUUGUUUUUUCUUAUUUUUUCUUUCUUUUUUUGCUUCACACUAGUUAAUUUUCUUUCUUUCCCUUUUCCUUUAUUUUUUCUUCGGUUUUAUUUUUCUUCUUCUUGUUUUUCUUUGUUUUUUUGUGUUUUCUAUUACGUUUUAUUUUUCAUGCAAAUUUUGGUAUAUAUCUAAUAUAUUUUUAAAGUACACUUUUAAUAUUUUACAAAUACAAGUUUAACAUUUAUUGAAUAAACGACCAACAUUUUUUCUACGUACAUUUAACAUUUUCAUAUAUCAUAAUAACAUUUUUCAAAUAUAUGGUGACAAUUCCUUCUAUACACAUUAUAAUCUUUAUUUAAUAUUGAUUAACUUUUUAUGAAAUAAAAUUUUAAUAUUUUUCCAAUACAUGGUCAACAUUUUUUGUAUUCACAUUUAACAUUUUUUUCACAUGCUUGAUUAACAUUUUCCGAAUACAACUUCAUAAUUUUUUAAAUACAUGGGCAACAUUCUUUCUAUACACAUUUUUUUUCAAAUGAUUGAUUAAAACUUUCCAAAUACAAGUUUAACAUUUUGUCAAUACAUGGUCAACAUUUUUUAUAUAGACAUUUUACAUUUGCUUGAUUAACAUUUUUCAACUACAUAUUUAUUUUUUUAAAUACAUGGUCAAUAUUUUUGUUAUACACAUUCAACUUUUUCAAAAGCCCGUUCAACAUUUUUUUCGAAUGCUUGGAUUAGAAUUUUAUUAAUACACGUUCAUUUAUUUCACACCUAAUAUUUUUUGAUAAAUUUAUCGUAUACAUGAGAAACAUGUUCUCUAUGUACAUUAAACAUUUUUCAAAUACUUAGUUAACAUUUUAUUUGAAGUGUUUUGUGUAAAGUGUUUUUUAAAUAUAUUUAUUUAAAUGUUUUGGAAGUAUAAAGGAAAGAAAAAAUGAAACAAAAUAAAAUGAAACAAAACAUUAAAAAAGAAAAAAAAC
Molecule: long non-coding RNA, 37519 nt
Filed under: Triticum aestivum (bread wheat)
Lineage: Eukaryota; Viridiplantae; Streptophyta; Magnoliopsida; Poales; Poaceae
Description: long non-coding RNA (TAES_LNC014550)
Rfam family: MIR1120/MIR1122 microRNA precursor family (bases 4649-4783)
Source: RNAcentral